CUGGCGCUGGGUAGGCAAAGCCGGGAGAAACUGCUGAGAUGAGACUCCUCUCGUGUUGUAUUUGAAGCCCAGUUUGGGGGCGCCUGGGUGACUCCGUUGGUUGGACAGCUGUCUUCGGCUCAGAGUCUCAGAUGGAAGGACACCUUUCAGUGGCCCUGAGCUCUGGGGUCCCCACCACCACCAAGACAUCUUCAGACGGGGGAAGCCGGUCUUGGCAACGGGCUGCAAGCUUUCUACAAGAAACUCACGUUCCUCUGUGGCUGAUUUCCACUCUGCUCCCCUGAAAACCUGCAAACAAGAGCCCGCACGUCAUCCUCAAGGACAGCUUUUGCCGAGAACGUGGCCUGAAGAGCAUCCAGCGAGGACCUGGGAUGUGCGCACGGUUGGCCCUGCCCCGUUGUCCUUUGCUUUCCGGGGCAGCCUGAGGUGGCCCAGCGCUGCCACCCGUGGGGGCUUAUCCCUGCAUCCCAGCACCCCAGCACCAGCAGGGCUGGGAGGGGGCUGGGAGGCCCCCGCCUCAUUUUAAAGAAAAUAUGGGAAAGCAGGUGUCACUGCUGAAAAAAAAAAUGGAGACACUUGCCCUCCCUUCGGUACCUCAAAGUUCUAACUGAAUUCCUCUUCCUCUCUACACCCCCACCAGAAAAGUCCCGCCUGCUGUUAUUUGCCCCAAGGCCCAUGUUUGUCCAACAGGCAAACUGCAUUUGGGAAGUAAUGUAAGCUUUCACAUUUGAGGUUAAUCAAGUGCAACAAGGAUGCCUGUUCAAAUCCCAUCAUCCUCUCCCCCCACCCCGCCACCCUGGAGAGUCUGAAUGAGGGCAGUGGGUCGAUAGAAUCCCACCCAAAGUGAAGAAACGGGACGGUGUGUGUGUAACUCGCAGUGGCCUGGUCAUCAGUAAAGCCAUGGUGACCAUGGGAAAUUGCAAGAAGCUGUAAACAGCACGGAGCCCCCCCCCCGAUGGCUUUUGAGGGCCCCCCAGGGAACCCAGUUUGGGAACCGUGGGGCUAAGCCAACUAGGAUGGAGGCGCAACUCUUUGACAAUCCCACAGCCACUCCCACUUCCCCAUGGAGGGAGUCCUCACGCAGCAGGGUGCUCUGGAAAGCUAUUGAGACAUCGUGACUCUGCUGGUUUUUGCCCGUGUGACCUGGGGUAGAUGGCUUUCCCUCUCUGAGUUUCUGGGUCUCACUGCCUCCCUCCUGGGUUGUGAGUGCUCCGUAAGGCCUGGGUGUCUUUACUGUUGCCAUAACCUCUUGUUCAGGUCUCCUGACUUCCCACCCCUCAUGCCCUGACCGUGUCACUGGAUAUCUGUGACGAAAGCAGGUGCAGAGGGCUAGACGGCACCUGGAGCCCUUCUGAGAAGCCAUCUGUGAUGGGAUAGAGAGCCUGGAAGGGGAGGGAGGAGCCCAGGAGCGGGCAGGCUGGGGGCACCUGGAGAUAGUAGUUCUGGGGUGCAUCUGAGCUCUCCUCAACUUUAAUAUGCCCCAGAUCACCUGGGUAUCUUGUCCGAAUGCAGAUCCGGACGCAGCAGGCCUGGGCAGGGGCUCCCAGGUGAGGCAGCUGCUGGGGCUUCACUCUAACCCAAGGAGGAGGCCAGGCCACCGGUAUCCGGGAGAGAUGGCUCCAGAAAGGCCUGAGAGCCCCAGGACGUCCAUGCCUGGAAAGACGAUGCAACAUGAGGGUAAAAUUAUGUUUUCAACAAAAGAAAAGCCCUCUUCCUCCUAACAUGCAGAAAGAUCUCUCUUCCCACCCCCACGCAGCCCCAGGGGCCCGAAAGAAUGUGGUUUUCUCAGCACAGCUUCCCUCACUGAAGGGGGUGGAUUCGCUCUUAAAAAGUUGCCUGUAAAAUGAAUU
This is a long non-coding RNA of Zalophus californianus (California sea lion), 1850 nucleotides long. RefSeq lists it as uncharacterized. NCBI's taxonomy places the organism in Eukaryota, Metazoa, Chordata, Mammalia, Carnivora, Otariidae. The transcript is spliced from 4 exons. The record is from RefSeq and is a predicted model, not a curated record.